UGUGGCCUUGUUGUAGGAAGUGUGGCUCCCAGUCUCUUUUCCUGCUGUCUGCCAAUCCAAAUGCAGAACUCUCAACUCCUUCUCCAGCACCAUGUCUGCCUCAUGCCACCAUGCUUCCCGCAUGAACUGGUCUUGCAGUAUUUGAGAAGCCAGAAAGACCCCGAAUGGCUGGUACAGACUACUUUUAAAGGAAAAAGCCACAGAAACAAGAUAGGGCCCCUCCUAAGGAUUUGACUGGUGGUUGGAACAAUUGGACUUUCUUUUCUGAUAACUUGUGGUCUCUAUCAGGUGUGCUUCCGGUUUCCCACAUUAUCAGAGGGAGCUGCCUUACUGAGAAAAGCAGCAAGCAUCUGUGGAGGCCUCUCCUGGUAGGUCAUAGUAAUUUUCUGUGACAUCUGGUUCUGUCGGGAUCCUGACCUGGGAUGAAGAGGGUUCUGACGAGACUUAGUACUCUCCCAUCCAAGGCAAAGAGCAAGGCAU
Alexandromys fortis (reed vole) is the source of this 480-nucleotide long non-coding RNA. RefSeq lists it as uncharacterized. NCBI's taxonomy places the organism in Eukaryota, Metazoa, Chordata, Mammalia, Rodentia, Cricetidae. The record is from RefSeq and is a predicted model, not a curated record. The transcript has 4 exons.